UACAGAGGGUGCGAGCGUUAAUCGGAAUUACUGGGCGUAAAGCGCGCGUAGGCGGCUUUGUAAGUCGGAUGUGAAAUCCCCGGGCUUAACCUGGGAACUGCAUUCGAGACUGCAUAGCUUGAGUAUGGGAGAGGGAGGCGGAAUUUCCGGUGUAGCGGUGAAAUGCGUAGAUAUCGGAAGGAACAUCAGUGGCGAAGGCGGCUUCCUGGUCCAACAUUGACAUUCAGGUGCGAAAGCGUGGGGAGCAAACAGG
RNAcentral lists this ribosomal RNA (253 nucleotides) under uncultured prokaryote. RNAcentral's name for it is "partial 16S ribosomal RNA". It matches the Rfam family "Bacterial small subunit ribosomal RNA", at positions 524 to 776 of the family's 1533-position model. The record is from RNAcentral.